Molecule: ribosomal RNA, 281 nt
Filed under: Acinetobacter baumannii
Lineage: Bacteria; Pseudomonadati; Pseudomonadota; Gammaproteobacteria; Moraxellales; Moraxellaceae
Description: partial 16S ribosomal RNA
Rfam family: Bacterial small subunit ribosomal RNA
Source: RNAcentral
GAGCAAGCGGACCUCAUAAAGUAUGUCGUAGUCCGGAUUGGAGUCUGCAACUCGACUCCAUGAAGUCGGAAUCGCUAGUAAUCGUAGAUCAGAAUGCUACGGUGAAUACGUUCCCGGGCCUUGUACACACCGCCCGUCACACCAUGGGAGUGGGUUGCAAAAGAAGUAGGUAGCUUAACCUUCGGGAGGGCGCUUACCACUUUGUGAUUCAUGACUGGGGUGAAGUCGUAACAAGGUAGCCGUAGGGGAACCUGCGGCUGGAUCACCUCCUUACCUUAAAG